Molecule: ribosomal RNA, 429 nt
Filed under: Pseudomonadota bacterium
Lineage: Bacteria; Pseudomonadati; Pseudomonadota
Description: Proteobacteria bacterium partial 16S ribosomal RNA
Rfam family: Bacterial small subunit ribosomal RNA
Source: RNAcentral
UGGGGAAUAUUGGACAAUGGGCGAAAGCCUGAUCCCGCCAUGCCGCGUGUGUGAAGAAGGUCUUCGGAUUGUAAAGCACUUUAAGUUGGGAGGAAGGGCAGUAAGCGAAUACCUUGCUGUUUUGACGUUACCGACAGAAUAAGCACCGGCUAACUCUGUGCCAGCAGCCGCGGUAAUACAGAGGGUGCAAGCGUUAAUCGGAAUUACUGGGCGUAAAGCGCGCGUAGGUGGUUCGUUAAGUUGAAUGUGAAGGCCCCGGGCUCAACCUGGGAACUGCAUCCAAAACUGGCGAGCUAGAGUAGAGCAGAGGGUGGUGGAAUUUCCUGUGUAGCGGUGAAAUGCGUAGAUAUAGGAAGGAACACCAGUGGCGAAGGCGACCACCUGGGCUCAUACUGACACUGAGGUGCGAAAGCGUGGGGAGCAAACAGG